This 84-nucleotide transfer RNA is filed under the name Fidelibacterota bacterium. Its description in RNAcentral is "tRNA-Leu". It matches the Rfam family "tRNA". Rfam says of the family: Transfer RNA (tRNA) molecules are approximately 80 nucleotides in length. Their secondary structure includes four short double-helical elements and three loops (D, anti-codon, and T loops). Lineage: Bacteria; Pseudomonadati; Fidelibacterota. The record is from RNAcentral.
GCCGAAGUGGUGGAACUGGUAGACACGCGGGCUUGAGGGGUCCGUGAGGGAAACCUCGUGCCGGUUCGAGUCCGGCCUUCGGCA